AUUGAACGCUAGCGGGAUGCUCUACACAUGCAAGUCGAACGGCAGCGCGGACUUCGGUCUGGCGGCGAGUGGCGAACGGGUGAGUAAUGUAUCGGAACGUGCCCAGUAGCGGGGGAUAACUACGCGAAAGCGUAGCUAAUACCGCAUACGCCCUACGGGGGAAAGCAGGGGAUCGUAAGACCUUGCACUAUUGGAGCGGCCGAUAUCGGAUUAGCUAGUUGGUGAGGUAACGGCUCACCAAGGCGACGAUCCGUAGCUGGUUUGAGAGGACGACCAGCCACACUGGGACUGAGACACGGCCCAGACUCCUACGGGAGGCAGCAGUGGGGAAUUUUGGACAAUGGGGGCAACCCUGAUCCAGCCAUCCCGCGUGUGCGAUGAAGGCCUUCGGGUUGUAAAGCACUUUUGGCAGGAAAGAAACGUCGCGGGCUAAUACCCCGUGGAACUGACGGUACCUGCAGAAUAAGCACCGGCUAACUACGU
RNAcentral lists this ribosomal RNA (483 nucleotides) under uncultured bacterium. RNAcentral's name for it is "partial 16S ribosomal RNA". It matches the Rfam family "Bacterial small subunit ribosomal RNA", at positions 30 to 506 of the family's 1533-position model. The record is from RNAcentral.